AACGAACGCUGGCGGCAUGCCUAACACAUGCAAGUCGAACGAGACCUUCGGGUCUAGUGGCGCAUGGGUGCGUAAUGCGUGGGAACCUGCCCUUAGGCUCGGAAUAACUCCCCGAAAGGGGUGAUAAUACUGGAUAAUGUCUCCGGACCAAAGAUUUAUGGCCGUUGGAUGGGCCCGCGUUGGAUUAGCCAGUUGGUAGGGUAAAAGCCUAUCAAGGCGACGAUCCAUAGCUUGUUUGAGAGGAUGAUCAGCCACACUGAGACUGAGACACGGCCGAGACUCCUGCGGGAGGAAGCAGUGGGGAGUGUAGGACAAGGGGCGAAAGCCUGAUCCAGCAAUGCCGGGUGAGUAAUGAAGGCCUUAGGAUUGUAAAGCUCUUUUAAACGAGCUGAUAAUGACAGUACCGGGAGAAUAAGCGCCGGCCAACUCCGUG
RNAcentral lists this ribosomal RNA (433 nucleotides) under uncultured bacterium. Its description in RNAcentral is "partial 16S ribosomal RNA". It matches the Rfam family "Bacterial small subunit ribosomal RNA", at positions 29 to 507 of the family's 1533-position model. The record is from RNAcentral.